This 45-nucleotide non-coding RNA is filed under the name Schistosoma mansoni. The record is from RNAcentral. Lineage: Eukaryota; Metazoa; Platyhelminthes; Trematoda; Strigeidida; Schistosomatidae.
AUUCAGCUUAGGAGUACCAAAUAGCACGAAACGCGCGUCACGGAU